Non-coding RNA from Camellia sinensis, 170 nucleotides. Lineage: Eukaryota; Viridiplantae; Streptophyta; Magnoliopsida; Ericales; Theaceae. The record is from RefSeq and is a predicted model, not a curated record.
AUUGUGCACUUGGCGGAGUUAGACCUUCUUCGUGUUUGCCCGUAACCAUUGAUGUGGGGACAAACAAUGAGCAGUUGUUGAAAGAUGAAUUCUACAUUGGGCUCAGACAAAGGAGGGCAACUGGGAAGGAAUAUUAUGACCUUCUUCAUGAAUUCAUGACUGCUGUCAAG